This 465-nucleotide ribosomal RNA is filed under the name uncultured bacterium. RNAcentral's name for it is "partial 16S ribosomal RNA". It matches the Rfam family "Bacterial small subunit ribosomal RNA", at positions 338 to 795 of the family's 1533-position model. The record is from RNAcentral.
CCUACGUGUGGCAGCAGUGAGGAAUAUUGGUCAAUGGACGCAAGCCUGACGCAGCGACGCCGCGUGAGGGAUGAAGGUCUUCGGAUCGUAAACCUCUGUCAGCAGGGAAGAACGGUCACUGUGCUAAUCAGCAGUGAAUUGACGGUACCUGCAAAGGAAGCACCGGCUAACUCCGUGCCAGCAGCCGCGGUAAUACGGAGGGUGCGAGCGUUAAUCGGAAUUACUGGGCGUAAAGCGCUCGUAGGCGGUAUGUCAAGUCAAGGGUGAAAUCCCCGCGCUCAACGUGGGAACUGCCUUUGAAACUGGCAAACUGGAGUGUGUGAGAGGAUAGUGGAAUUCCAGGUGGAGGAGUGAAAUCCGUAGAUAUCUGGAGGAACAUCAGUGGCGAAGGCGACUAUCUGGCACAUAACUGACGCUGAGGAGCGAAAGCGUGGGUAGCAAACAGGAUUAGAUACCCGAGUAGUC